RNAcentral lists this ribosomal RNA (459 nucleotides) under uncultured bacterium. Its description in RNAcentral is "partial 16S ribosomal RNA". It matches the Rfam family "Bacterial small subunit ribosomal RNA", at positions 338 to 795 of the family's 1533-position model. The record is from RNAcentral.
CCUACGGGUGGCAGCAGUGAGGAAUAUUGGUCAAUGGGCGCUAGCCUGAACCAGCCAAGUAGCGUGAGGGAAGACUGUCCUAUGGAUUGUAAACCUCUUUUAUCUGGGAGCAAAAUACACCACGCAUAGCGUUUCGCGAGUACCCGAUGAAUAAGCAUCGGCUAACUCCGUGCCAGCAGCCGCGGUAAUACGGAGGAUGCGAGCGUUAUCCGGAUUUAUUGGGUUUAAGGGGUGCGCAGGCGGAAGUUAAAGUCAGUGGUAAAAUUGAGAGGCUCAACCUCUUCGAGCAGUUGAAACUGGUUUUCUUGAGUGAGUGAGAAGUAUGCGGAAUGCGUGGUGUAGCGGUGAAAUGCAUAGAUAUCACGAAGAACUCCGAUUGCGAAGGCAGCAUACUGGAGUUCAACUGACGCUCAUGCACGAAAGUGUGGGUAUCGAACAGGAUUAGAUACCCGAGUAGUC